GCCAGCGGCGUUAGCAUGUUUAAUGCAACAAUUCUCAAAUGAUCACUGAAGUUAAGCAAUUUCACCCGUGGUUGGUACCUAGAUGGGUGACCAUCUGGGCAGGCGCAUUUUGCUGGCU
Molecule: ribosomal RNA, 118 nt
Filed under: Diaphorina citri (Asian citrus psyllid)
Lineage: Eukaryota; Metazoa; Arthropoda; Insecta; Hemiptera; Psyllidae
Source: RNAcentral